AUUACGAUGGCUGGUGGUAGUAUAUAAACACUGCAGGCAAGAGCAGGAUUGUACCAGAACUACCUACUUCGUCUUUAACAAGAAACCUUGCCAAUUCAAAAUGAACGGUCUGGCUGGAGUCAGCGCCCUCGUGUGGGUUACCAUCGCACUAGCUGUGCUGAUUAACGAAGCUGCUGCUCUAGGAGGUGGUGUCGGAGCUGGCAGAAUGGUUCCCGUUGAGAAGUGAAUGAAAGAAACACUAAUCCAAGGCCUUGGCUACAUAGAGAAGUUCCAGCACCUGCUUACGCUGGAAAUGAAGUGAUGAAAGUGAACUACUCUGGUUGCUUCAGAUUAUGAAGUGUAUUAUGUCUCAGCCAUUCAGGCGAGGAGGGACAUCAAAGUAAAGGGCUUUGAAUGGUUUCCCCAUCUCAGCUUGUUUAACUAGACAGUAAAGAAAAAAUGACUUUU
Long non-coding RNA from Rhipicephalus microplus (southern cattle tick), 447 nucleotides. The record is from RefSeq and is a predicted model, not a curated record. Lineage: Eukaryota; Metazoa; Arthropoda; Arachnida; Ixodida; Ixodidae.